Arabidopsis lyrata subsp. lyrata is the source of this 751-nucleotide long non-coding RNA. RefSeq lists it as uncharacterized. Lineage: Eukaryota; Viridiplantae; Streptophyta; Magnoliopsida; Brassicales; Brassicaceae. The transcript has 3 exons. The record is from RefSeq and is a predicted model, not a curated record.
AUUUUUGUUUUUUCCAGUCUCGUCUUCUCCAAAAGAUGAAAAUCGAUGGAUGUUCUCUGCAAUUAGUCUUACUUCUAUCAAAUAAUUAUACAAUCAAUUCGUCAAUGGCUUUGAGGGCUUCCUUCAUUUUACAGGGAAAAGAGAAAGAUUAAAAAAAAAAAAUUGUUCUCUCUCUUCUUCUCUUCGUCUUCUCCGACGACUCCGACGAAGCCGAUCGAGAGAAGAAAAAAAUUCAACGGCCGUCCGGUUACUGUCUUGCUCCGUUCCGACGAUCUAUCUUCCCCGAGUAGAUCUGUGAUUCGUUUCUCGGCGAUACUUGAUUUUUUAAACAAUGGCUGCUCCUCCUGCUAGAGCUCGUGCUGAUUACGAUUUCCUCAUUAAACUUCUGCUGAUCGGAGACAGCGGUGUUGGUAAGAAUUGCCUCCUCUUACGUUUCUCAGAUGGCUCGUUUACCACCAGUUUCAUUACAACUAUUGGGUAUAAUGUCUUCAUUGCAUGACUCUGUGUUAUCACGUCCUCUAUGUACUCCUCAAGAUGAAUCUGAUUCCAGUUUAUGGUUUUAGCUUAAAUUUGAAGCUUUUUUCAUUUUAGUUAUGUGAAAAUGUUGUUGUGAUUUGUUAGAUGGUUUCAAUAUGCCUACCAUUUUGUUUUUUUUUUUCUAAGAUUACAAGCCUUUUCUAGUUCUGAUUUCAUUCAUUGUGAUUGGAAGAUUUUAAAGUUUGUUGAUAUACUCUUAUAUUGUCUUUGGGUA